UCCCUGGUGAUCCAGUGGUUAGGAUUCUGCACUUUCAUUGCUGAGGGUGUGGGUUCAAUCCCUGGUUGGGGAA
This 73-nucleotide transfer RNA is filed under the name Bos taurus (domestic cattle). It matches the Rfam family "tRNA". From Rfam's summary of the family: Transfer RNA (tRNA) molecules are approximately 80 nucleotides in length. Lineage: Eukaryota; Metazoa; Chordata; Mammalia; Artiodactyla; Bovidae. The record is from Rfam by way of RNAcentral. RNAcentral also lists the same sequence under 5 other names.